Molecule: ribosomal RNA, 209 nt
Filed under: uncultured bacterium
Lineage: Bacteria
Description: partial 16S ribosomal RNA
Rfam family: Bacterial small subunit ribosomal RNA
Source: RNAcentral
CGCGUAGGCGGGCUGCCAAGUCAGGGGUGAAAUCCUCCGGCUCAACCGGAGAACAGCCCCUGAUACUGGCGGCCUCGAGGGAGGUAGGGGCCGAUGGAACUUCCGGUGGAGCGGUGAAAUGCGUAGAUAUCGGAAGGAACGCCGGUGGCGAAAGCGAUCGGCUGGACCUCUUCUGACGCUGAGGCGCGAAAGCCAGGGGAGCAAAACGG